AUUGAACGCUGGCGGCAUGCUUUACACGUGCAAGUCGAACGGCAGCGCGGGCUUCGGCCUGGCGGCGAGUGGCGAACGGGUGAGUAAUACAUCGGAACGUGCCCAGUAGUGGGGGAUAGCUCGGCGAAAGCCGGAUUAAUACCGCAUACGACCUGAGGGUGAAAGCGGGGGAUCUUCGGACCUCGCGCUAUUGGAGCGGCCGAUGGCAGAUUAGCUAGUUGGUGGGGUAAAGGCCUACCAAGGCGACGAUCUGUAGCUGGUCUGAGAGGACGACCAGCCACACUGGGCCUGAGCCACGGCCCAGACUCCUACGGGAGGCAGCAGUGGGAAAUUUUGGACAAUGGGCGAAAGCCUGCUCCAGCAAUGCCGCGUGUGUGAUGAAGGCCCUCGGGUUGUAAAGCACUUUUGGCGGGAACGAAAAGGACUGUGCCAAUACCACGGUUCGAUGCCGGUACCCGCAGAAUAAGCACCGGCUAACUACGU
Molecule: ribosomal RNA, 483 nt
Filed under: uncultured bacterium
Lineage: Bacteria
Description: partial 16S ribosomal RNA
Rfam family: Bacterial small subunit ribosomal RNA
Source: RNAcentral